AUAGCGUAUAUUAAAGUUGUUGUGGUUAAAACGCCCGUAGUUGAUUUUUCGACUGUGAAGGUCGGUAGCCCGUAUGGGUUUCACUGUCCCUUCAAGUCUGAAUUUGAGUUUUCUGUCGAUGCUCUUUACCGGGUGUCGUCAGUGACUUGAACGUUUACUUUGAAAAAAUUAGAGUGCUUAAAGCAAGCUUUACGCUUGAAUAAAGUGCAUGGGAUAAUGGAAUAGGACUUUAGUCUUAUUUUGUUGGUUUUCGAGAUUAAAGUAAUGAUUAAGAGGAACAGACGGGGGCAUUCGUAUUGUUGCGUUAGAGGUGAAAUUCUUGGAUCGCAGCAAGACGAACAACUG
This 345-nucleotide ribosomal RNA is filed under the name Pheromermis sp. MNHN JL51a. Its description in RNAcentral is "SSU rRNA". It matches the Rfam family "Eukaryotic small subunit ribosomal RNA", at positions 594 to 945 of the family's 1831-position model. Lineage: Eukaryota; Metazoa; Nematoda; Enoplea; Mermithida; Mermithidae. The record is from RNAcentral.